RNAcentral lists this transfer RNA (73 nucleotides) under Aedes aegypti (yellow fever mosquito). It matches the Rfam family "tRNA". From Rfam's summary of the family: Transfer RNA (tRNA) molecules are approximately 80 nucleotides in length. Their secondary structure includes four short double-helical elements and three loops (D, anti-codon, and T loops). The record is from Rfam by way of RNAcentral. Lineage: Eukaryota; Metazoa; Arthropoda; Insecta; Diptera; Culicidae.
GUCUCGGUAGCUUAGUUGGUAAAGCGCUCGUCUAGCAUACAAGAGUCCUGGGUUCAAAUCCCAGCCGAGUACG